GACGAACGCUGGCGGCGUGCUUAACACAUGCAAGUCGAACGGUGAAGCGCCUUCCUUUUUGGUGGGUGUGGAUGAGUGGCGAACGGGUGAGUAACACGUGAGUAACCUGCCCCCUUCUUCUGGAUAACCGCAUGAAAGUGUGGCUAAUACGGGAUAUUCUGGGUCUGUCGCAUGAUGGGUCUGGGAAAGAUAUUGUUUCGGUGGGGGAUGGGCUCGCGGCCUAUCAGCUUGUUGGGGGGGUGAUGGCCUACCAAGGCGGUGACGGGUAGCCGGCCUGAGAGGGUGGGGGGCCACAGGGGGGCAGAGACCGGACCGGGACCCGGACGGGGGGCGGGAGGGGGGAGGAGGGAACAGGGGGGGAGGGCGUGAGCCGGGGGGGCCGCGUGAGGGUGGGGGCCUUUGGGUGGGGGACCUUCUUCGGCAGGUGAAGCGGCCGUGCCUGGUUGGGGGGGGGUUGGAGGGGAGUUGAAAAGGAGGCCCGGCAUAACUAGGUC
Molecule: ribosomal RNA, 494 nt
Filed under: uncultured bacterium
Lineage: Bacteria
Description: partial 16S ribosomal RNA
Rfam family: Bacterial small subunit ribosomal RNA (bases 20-341)
Source: RNAcentral